This 422-nucleotide ribosomal RNA is filed under the name uncultured bacterium. RNAcentral's name for it is "bacterial SSU rRNA". It matches the Rfam family "Bacterial small subunit ribosomal RNA", at positions 355 to 775 of the family's 1533-position model. The record is from RNAcentral.
UAGGGAAUAUUGGGCAAUGCUCGCAAGAGUGACCCAGCCAUGCCGCGUGCAGGAAGAAGGCCUUCUGGGUUGUAAACUGCUUUUGGAAGGGAACAAAAUGGGCAUGCGUGCCAACUUGAGUGUACCUUCAGAAUAAGCACCGGCUAACUCCGUGCCAGCAGCCGCGGUAAUACGGAGGGUGCAAGCGUUGUCCGGAUUUAUUGGGUUUAAAGGGUGCGUAGGCGGCUUAUUAAGUCAGGGGUGAAAGACUAUUGCUUAACAAUGGCAGUGCCUUUGAUACUGAUAGGCUUGAGUACAGCUGAGGCAGAUGGAACGGGUGGUGUAGCGGUGAAAUGCAUAGAUACCAUCCAGAACACCGAUUGCGAAGGCAGUCUGCUAAACUGUAACUGACACUGAGGCACGAAAGCGUGGGGAUCGAACAG